RNAcentral lists this ribosomal RNA (409 nucleotides) under 2,4-D-degrading bacterium 027. RNAcentral's name for it is "bacterial SSU rRNA". It matches the Rfam family "Bacterial small subunit ribosomal RNA", at positions 49 to 461 of the family's 1533-position model. The record is from RNAcentral. Lineage: Bacteria; Pseudomonadati; Pseudomonadota; Betaproteobacteria; Burkholderiales.
UUAUACAUGCAAGUCGACGGCAGCACGGGGCAACCCUGGUGGCGAGUGNCGAACGGGUGAGUAAUACAUCGGAACGUGUCCUGUAGUGGGGGAUAGCCCGGCGAAAGCCNGGAUUAAUACCGCAUACGCUCUGCGGAGAAAGCGGGGGAUCCUUCGGGACCUCGCGCUACAGGGGCGGGCCGAUGCAGAUUAGCUAGUUGGUGGGGUAAAGGCCUACCAAGGCGACGAUCUGUAGCUGGUCUGAGAGGACGACCAGCCACACUGGGACUGAGACACGGCCCAGACUCCUACGGGAGGCAGCAGUGGGGAAUUUUGGACAAUGGGCGCAAGCCUGAUCCAGCAAUGCCGCGUGUGUGAAGAAGGCUUCGGGUUGUAAAGCACUUUUGUCCGGAAAGAAAACCUCGUGGUU